Molecule: ribosomal RNA, 377 nt
Filed under: uncultured bacterium
Lineage: Bacteria
Description: bacterial SSU rRNA
Rfam family: Bacterial small subunit ribosomal RNA
Source: RNAcentral
UAAUACGGAGGGUGCGAGCGUUGUCCGGAAUCACUGGGCGUAAAGGGCGCGUAGGUGGUCCUUUAAGCGUGUGGUGAAAGCUCGGGGCUCAACCUCGAGUCGGCCAUGCGAACUGGGGGACUGGAGCACUGUAGAGGCAGGUGGAAUUCCGGGUGUAGCGGUGGAAUGCGUAGAGAUCCGGAAGAACACCGGUGGCGAAGGCGGCCUGCUGGGCAGUUGCUGACACUGAGGCGCGACAGCGUGGGGAGCAAACAGGAUUAGAUACCCUGGUAGUCCACGCCGUAAACGAUGGGCACUAGGUGCUUCGGGGAGCGACCCUCGGAGUGCCGGCGCUAACGCAUUAAGUGCCCCGCCUGGGGAGUACGGCCGCAAGGCUG